Brienomyrus brachyistius is the source of this 676-nucleotide long non-coding RNA. RefSeq lists it as uncharacterized. The transcript has 6 exons. The record is from RefSeq and is a predicted model, not a curated record. Lineage: Eukaryota; Metazoa; Chordata; Actinopteri; Osteoglossiformes; Mormyridae.
GCUGGUUUUUAUUUGUUAUUAUUGGCAGGGGUUUGAAAACAAAUAUGAGCAACUUGCCUAUGGCAGGGGCGAUUCUAGGUGGGGGGACACAAGAGGGGCCAACCUUAUCAUCAAUCAAAGAUAUGUUUUGAAUUUGAACUAUAUUUGAACCCCUAUCAGUUGGGCCCGUGCCCCAGUGACCUCGUCCCUGUCUGUGUCCCUGGCUUAUGGUCACUUUAGAAGAUGGGAACACAGCCCAAAAUCAGAGAAUACGCUACGUCCUGGACGGGAUGCCAGUCCAGCAGAGGCAGCACAGUUCCCAGGGCCCAGGUACGUCCUGGACGGGAUGCCAGUCCAGCAGAGGCAGCACAGUUCCCAGGGCCCAGGUACGUCCUGGACGGGAUGCCAGUCCAGCAGAGGCAGCACAGUUCCCAGGGCCCAGGUACGUCCUGGACGGGAUGCCAGUCCAGCAGAGGCAGCACAGUUCCCAGGGCCCAGGAGGAAACCAGAGCUCCCAGGGGAGAACAUGCAAACUAAACGCACUUACUCACACAGCUGAGGCACAGCCCUGAAGUGACACCUGUCAGCAUCCUAGACAUUCCUAUUUAUGGGAAGCUCUGCUCAGUGUCCCGAGUGUCACUGUCACUAUGUGAAGUAAUGAUCUUCCCCAAAAACAGUAAGAAGAGAAACAACAGGC